GUUAAUUUGAAAUGCUUCUGGAAAAAAAAGACUUUUAAACAGACACCCAGGGCAGUAGAGAGCCGCAGCUGUUGCAAGGAAACAUCCCUGAGUGGUAAUAAAUACGCCCACAGGUGCUAGACACGCCCUUUGGGCAGAGACGCGUGACCUGGAAUCUACCUGAAACUAGUUUUCAAAAGUAGAUCAGGAACUCCUCUGUACAUACAUAUACCCUGCUACUGACUGCAAAGAAGAUUCAUUCAAGUGAAAGUGAUCUUGACGGUCCUGGGGAUGAGGAGCAUUCUCUGGCCUGUGGCAUUCAUGCUGGUGAUGUCCCAUCUAUCAUCUGGUCUCAUCUGUCAAAAUGGCGGCACUUAUGAUGGUAUAAAGUGUCAAUGUGCAACUGACUUCUUCGGGCCUUUGUGUGAAGAAGCUGCCCCCAGACCAGCCCCAGAGAGAGACAUUAUGACUCCUCCUGUCACUGGGGAAAAUCGGGAAAGAGACAUUUUUUUAUCUGCUUCCUCUGUCGGGAUCCACUCUGUGCAUGUGCCAGCAAAAAAUAAGUCACAACAGCCAGCAUAAGCAGGGAUAAUACAGUAGGACGCAGUUUAUCAGGUAACACGUGCAGGAAAAAUGCCCCAGUGAUGAUUAUUAUAACCAGGACACAGAUGCCUCCAUAUAAACCUGAUUUUAAAAUCUUUCCUGUACAGGUUCC
Molecule: long non-coding RNA, 694 nt
Organism: Pseudophryne corroboree (corroboree frog)
Lineage: Eukaryota; Metazoa; Chordata; Amphibia; Anura; Myobatrachidae
Exons: 6
Source: RefSeq, a predicted model, not a curated record